AAUUUUGGACAAUGGGGGAAACCCUGAUCCAGCAAUGCCGCGUGCAGGAUGAAGGCCUUCGGGUUGUAAACUGCUUUUUUACGGAACGAAAAGUCUUGGGCUAAUACCCUGGGAACAUGACGGUACCCUCAGUAUAAGCACCGGCGAAAUACGUGCCAGCAGCCGAGGUAAUACGUAGGGUGCAAGCGUUAAUCGGAAUUACUGGGCGUAAAGCGUGCGCAGGCGGUUUUGUAAGACAGUGGUGAAAUCCCCGGGCUCAACCUGGGAACUGCCAUUGUGACUGCAAGGCUGGAGUGCGGCAGAGGGGGAUGGAGUUCCGCGUGUAGCAGUGAAAUGCGUAGAUAUGCGGAGGAAAACCGAUGGCGAAGGCAAUCCCCUGGGCCUGCACUGACGCUCAUGCACGAAAGCGUGGGGAGCAAACAGG
Molecule: ribosomal RNA, 424 nt
Filed under: uncultured bacterium
Lineage: Bacteria
Description: partial 16S ribosomal RNA
Rfam family: Bacterial small subunit ribosomal RNA
Source: RNAcentral